AUGCUCGCUUCAGCAGCACAUAUACUAAAAUCGGAACGCUACAGAGAAGAUUAGCUGGCCCCUACGCAAGGAUGACAUGCAAAUUCCUGAAGUGUUCCAUAUUUUU
Molecule: small nuclear RNA, 106 nt
Organism: Erinaceus europaeus (western European hedgehog)
Lineage: Eukaryota; Metazoa; Chordata; Mammalia; Eulipotyphla; Erinaceidae
Source: Ensembl